RNAcentral lists this non-coding RNA (29 nucleotides) under Rattus norvegicus (Norway rat). The record is from RNAcentral. Lineage: Eukaryota; Metazoa; Chordata; Mammalia; Rodentia; Muridae.
UNGCCAUGGCUAGGGUCUAUCAGUUGCAA